RNAcentral lists this ribosomal RNA (468 nucleotides) under uncultured bacterium. RNAcentral describes it as "partial 16S ribosomal RNA". It matches the Rfam family "Bacterial small subunit ribosomal RNA", at positions 28 to 507 of the family's 1533-position model. The record is from RNAcentral.
GACGAACGCUGGCGGCGUGCUUAACACAUGCAAGUCGAACGGAAAGGCCCUGCUUUUGUGGGGUGCUCGAGUGGCGAACGGGUGAGUAACACGUGAGUAACCUGCCCUUGACUUUGGGAUAACUUCAGGAAACUGGGGCUAAUACCGGAUAGGAGCUCCUGCUGCAUGAUGGGGGUUGGAAAGUUUCGGCGGUUGGGGAUGGACUCGCGGCUUAUCAGCUUGUUGGUGGGGUAGUGGCUUACCAAGGCUUUGACGGGUAGCCGGCCUGAGAGGGUGACCGGCCACAUUGGGACUGAGAUACGGCCCAGACUCCUACGGGAGGCAGCAGUGGGGAAUAUUGCACAAUGGGCGGAAGCCUGAUGCAGCAACGCCGCGUGCGGGAUGGCGGCCUUCGGGUUGUAAACCGCUUUCGCCUGUGACGAAGCGUGAGUGACGGUAAUGGGUAAAGAAGCACCGGCUAACUACGUG